GCUGCAGUGCCUUUGUUCCAGCUACUUAGACCUAACUGAUACAGUCAGUGUACUACUGUGAAGCUCUAGGUGUAAUAUUGUAAAUCACUUUCAACAAAGGCAUCUGCAAAAGAUUAAAUAAUAAUAAUAGCUUGGGGCAAUGUGAGCCCGUGUGGGCGGAGAGUUUGAAGUGGUUGCUUCAUGGAAACUCAGUAUCAGUCACACCCGCACGCGCGCUCACACGCACACACAAACUGGGCCGCUCACAGUGGGCUACAUCACUUCCUGUGGAUGGAAAAGUGGAGCUAUUACUUCCAUCCCCUCGAAGAAAGAACACGAGAGGAACGGGCGCCGAAACAGGCAGAGACGGGACACGGAGGGAACCGAGGGGCUCGAGGACACGCGAUUGGACGGCUGUUGCUUCUUCCCUAUCCUGCGGACGGCUCGGCCACUGGGUCGUGUCUCACCAUAGCGAGCUGAGUGGAGAGCCGUGUAUCACCGCCCUGGUCUACAGGCACCCCCCUCCCCUGCCCCAUCUGUGUCUCUGAAGAAAGCCAACGGUUCUUCUGGACUCUGGAAAGCGUUGUUCAGACACCAUAAAUCUCGCAGAGGAGAAGGCACUCUCGAAUGUAAAUGCGUCAGUAACUUUUUUUUUUUGGAAAGAUAUUUGUUUGUUUUUGUUAUUCCAUAUUUUCUGCACUCCUGAGCAGUUGGUGCGGGAGCUGCUGUGAGAUCAAGGGGUAAGCACUUUCCUGCACGGCACCCCGAGGCGGACAUGGCUGCAGUGUGGCAUCCAGCUGGGUGCUAGAUGGGACUUGCAUCGGUGAUGCCGCGUCCUACCAACUCGCAUUGUACCUCUUGAGCUGUGGCACCAACCAGCGGAGCACCAGAAUGCUCACAACAAUGAUCUGGAAAUAGAGGAAACAUCAGUUUGUCUUUCAUUUGUUUUUCAGUUCCCAUCAUAACAAUUUGUUUUAUUUAUUUAUAUAUAUAUUUUUUUAAACCUACGCUCAGCCAGCUUGCCUGAAGUGCCUCUCCCCCCCCAUAGUUCACUGUUUAUGAUCAAGUUAGUUGUAAUUUUAUGUAUUGACAGGGCAGGUUCCCAGUGCUCUGAAGUUGGAGACUGAAUUUAAUUACAAGGCAGCAAGACUCAGUUUCCUUUUUGCGCAGAGGCAGCAUAGUUUUUGGCUCAGCUGUGCAGUCGAACCCUCUCCAGCACUGUGCGCUUGACUUGGGUAUUGGCUGAUUAAUACAGCCAAUUACACGGUCCAGCAUAAAUCCACCUUCAAGUCAAAUGAAUAACCUGUGUGGAAAGAGUGUCUGACGCAAUUCAGUGGAGGGAAUGCUGCUGCCAGGAAGUGUUAAACACAAUUUUUUUUGGGUCCAACCUCAGAAGCAAAGAUAAGUUAUCUUAAAGAGAGUCUGUGAUCAGUCAGUCUUUCUAAAACUGUUAUUGUUUCUACC
This 1443-nucleotide long non-coding RNA is filed under the name Scleropages formosus (Asian bonytongue). RNAcentral's name for it is "lncRNA (ENSSFOG00015030187.1)". The record is from RNAcentral. Lineage: Eukaryota; Metazoa; Chordata; Actinopteri; Osteoglossiformes; Osteoglossidae.